AUUCAUAUAAUAAAAUAAAAAAUAAAGCUAUAUAUUUUUUAAAUAUUACUUGUUGAAGUAUAAAUCGAUCACCACUAACGUAAGUGCCAAAAGACUUGAUAUAUAUAGUUAGUAUUCAAGGUUAUAAAUUCGAAGUCAGUUGUUUUAUAUUUUUAGCUAACAAAUUACAGUUUAGUCUUUAUAAAAUAGGAGUAAGAAAAAGAGUAAAUUACACUUUUGACUCUGAAACUAUGAGCCAUGUGACAUUUUAAUAUACGAAUUUUAAUUCGUUAUAAUAUUUUGGCUCGAACGACGAGGCACGUAAUAUUUUAGGCCUUGAACUUUAAUUAAUUAUAAUUUCUGACUCAGUGCUAUAAGGCAUAUGAUAUUUUAGUCCUUAAGCUUUCUGAAUUGUUUUAAUCAAAUCCUACAACUCAAAUUUUUUUGAAUAAAUAUUGAUAAAUUACUAAUAUCGAAAUAAUGUAGUAUUUUAAUUAUUGUAGCAUCAUCAAGUAAAUAAAUAUUGCUAUAAUUCAAAAGGUUUGAAAGCUAAUUACAACUAAUUAAAAUUUGAGGACUAAAAUAUUACGUGCCUCAUAGUUCAAGCUAAAAAUUAUAAUAAAUUAAAAUUUGAAAAC
Molecule: long non-coding RNA, 617 nt
Filed under: Ananas comosus (pineapple)
Lineage: Eukaryota; Viridiplantae; Streptophyta; Magnoliopsida; Poales; Bromeliaceae
Description: long non-coding RNA (ACOM_LNC037932)
Source: RNAcentral